AUGAUGACUCUCGGCAACGGAUAUCUCGGCUCUUGCAUCGACGAAGAACGUAGCGAAAUGCGAUACCUGGUGUGAAUUGCAGAAUCCCGCGAACCAUCGAGUCUUUGAACGCAAGUUGCGCCCGAGGCCACCCGGCCCAGGGCACGCCUGCCUGGGCGUCACGU
RNAcentral lists this ribosomal RNA (164 nucleotides) under Pinanga coronata. Its description in RNAcentral is "5.8S rRNA". It matches the Rfam family "5.8S ribosomal RNA". Rfam says of the family: 5.8S ribosomal RNA (5.8S rRNA) is a component of the large subunit of the eukaryotic ribosome. It is transcribed by RNA polymerase I as part of the 45S precursor that also contains 18S and 28S rRNA. Functionally, it is thought that 5.8S rRNA may be involved in ribosome translocation. Lineage: Eukaryota; Viridiplantae; Streptophyta; Magnoliopsida; Arecales; Arecaceae. The record is from RNAcentral.